CUCAAAGCAUGAAUAACUGUUUCUUCCUCUAAGUUACAUAAUGGGCAUAAGGAAUCAUUGGUAAAAUUCCUUCUAACUUUCUCGCUCUCUAUUUGUCAAAAACUUGUUGUGUAUACAAAAGAAAAGAAAUGUGUGGAUCCUUUUAGAACCCUACCAACUCCAUAUAUUAUUACCAUUAGCAAUAUUUGACAUAAACAAACC
RNAcentral lists this long non-coding RNA (201 nucleotides) under Theobroma cacao (cacao). RNAcentral's name for it is "long non-coding RNA (TCAC_LNC001304)". The record is from RNAcentral. Lineage: Eukaryota; Viridiplantae; Streptophyta; Magnoliopsida; Malvales; Malvaceae.